GGGGAAGGCACGCCACCCGUACCCUGCCUUUGCCGGCUGGACAAUUUUGGCGAGGCCGCAGGCUCUGCACGCUCCUAGGCCUCGACACCCACCACGCCACUCUGAGCUCCAGGACGUCCUGUGAUUACAGUUUAAAUCAGCAUCCCUCAGGGCCAGAGACCUGGUCUUCACCUGAGGACGGCUGCUUGCGUUGUGGCCGAAACGUCGUGAGAAUUAUUUUAUUAUGUUUUAUUAUUAUUUUAUUAUUUCCCUUCUACAUGACUUUACCGAAAGAACCAAGAAGAUGAG
This is a long non-coding RNA of Lethenteron reissneri (Far Eastern brook lamprey), 288 nucleotides long. RefSeq lists it as uncharacterized. NCBI's taxonomy places the organism in Eukaryota, Metazoa, Chordata, Hyperoartia, Petromyzontiformes, Petromyzontidae. The record is from RefSeq and is a predicted model, not a curated record.